This 460-nucleotide ribosomal RNA is filed under the name uncultured bacterium. Its description in RNAcentral is "partial 16S ribosomal RNA". It matches the Rfam family "Bacterial small subunit ribosomal RNA", at positions 338 to 795 of the family's 1533-position model. The record is from RNAcentral.
CCUACGGGUGGCAGCAGUGAGGAAUAUUGGUCAAUGGGCGCUAGCCUGAACCAGCCAAGUAGCGUGCAGGAUGACUGCCCUAUGGGUUGUAAACUUCUUUUAUACGAGAAUAAAGUGAAGUAUGUAUACUGCUUUGCAUGUACCUUACGAAUAAGGAUCGGCUAACUCCGUGCCAGCAGCCGCGGUAAUACGGAGGAUUCGAGCGUUAUCCGGAUUUAUUGGGUUUAAAGGGAGCGUAGGCGGGUUGUUAAGUCAGAUGUGAAAUGUUGCGGCUCAACAUUAGAAUUGCAGUUGAUACUGGCAUGCUAGAGUAUAGUAGAGGUAGGCGGAAGUCGUGGUGUAGCGGUGAAAUGCUUAGAUAUCACGAAGAACCCCGAUUGCGAAGGCAGCCUGCUGGACUGUGACUGACGCUGAUGCUCGAAAGUGUGGGUAUCAAACAGGAUUAGAUACCCGAGUAGUC